This 1209-nucleotide long non-coding RNA is filed under the name Salmo salar (Atlantic salmon). RNAcentral describes it as "lncRNA (ENSSSAG00000095553.1)". Lineage: Eukaryota; Metazoa; Chordata; Actinopteri; Salmoniformes; Salmonidae. The record is from RNAcentral.
CCCGGACGCUGGGCCAAUUGUGUGCCGCCCAGCCACGGCCGGACGUGAUACAGCCUGGAUUCGAACCAGGGACUGUAGUGACACCCCUUGUACUGAGAUGCAGUGUGUUAGACCGCUGCACCACUCAGGAGCCCAGUGUGUGUGAGAGAGAGAGCAGUGUGUGUGAGAGAGAGCAGUGAGUGAGAGAGAGAGCAGUGUGUGUGAGAGAGAGCAGUGUGUGUGUGAGAGAGAGAGAGCAGUGUGUGUGAGAGAGAGCAGUGUGUGUGUGAUUGAGAGAGCAGUGUGUGUGUGAGAGAGAGAGAGCAGUGUGUGAGAGAGAGAGCAGUGUGUGUGUGUGUGAGAGAGAGAGAGAAAGCAGUGUGAGAGAGAGAGAGCAGUGUGUGAGAGAGAGAGAGAGAGGGCAAGAGAGAGAAAGCAGUGUGUGAGAGAGAGAGAGCAGUGUGUGUGAGAGAGAGCAGUGUGUGUGAGAGAGAGAGAGAGAGCAGUGUGUGUGAGAGAGAGCAGUGUGUGUGAGAGAGAGAGAGAGAGCAGUGUGUGUGAGAGAGAGAUGCGUAUGGAUAAACCACCUCUCCAAUCUUUUUGGCUCUAUACAAAUAUUAGAAUCAACUAUUAAAGACUACCAGAACCCACUGGAUUCUCCAAUUACCUUGAAUGAAGUACAGGGCAAAAUACAAACCCUCCAACCCAAAAAGGCCUGUGGUGUUGAUGGUAUCCUAAAUGAAAUGAUCAAAAAUACAGACCACAAAUUCCAAUUGGCUAUACUAAAACUCUUUAACAUCAUCCUUAGCCCUGGCAUCUUCCCUAAUAUUUUGAACAAAGGACUGAUCACCCCCAAUUCAGAAAAGUGGAGACAAAUUCUAACCAAAUAACUAUCGUGGGAUAAGAGUCAACAGUAACCUUGGGAAAAUACUCUGCAUUAUCAUUCACAGCAGAAUCCUACAGACUAGUUAAUUUACCUCAGUGAAAACAAUGUCCUGAGCAAAUGUCAAAUUGGCUUUUUACCAAAUUACCGUACGACAGACCACGUAGUCACUCUGCACACCCCAUUUGAUAAACAAACAAACCAAAACAAAGGCAAAGUUGUCUCAUGCUUGGUUGAUUUCAAAAAAGCUUUUGACUCAAUUUGUCAUGAGGGUCUGCUAUACAAAUUGAUGGAAAGUGGUGUUGGGGGAAAAACAUACGACAUUAUAAAAUCCAUGUACACAAACA